CGCUUCUUUUUCCACCGGAGCUUGCUCCACCGGAAAAAGAAGAGUGGCGAACGGGUGAGUAACACGUGGGUAACCUGCCCAUCAGAAGGGGAUAACACUUGGAAACAGGUGCUAAUACCGUAUAACAAUCAAAACCGCAUGGUUUUGAUUUGAAAGGCGCUUUCGGGUGUCGCUGAUGGAUGGACCCGCGGUGCAUUAGCUAGUUGGUGAGGUAACGGCUCACCAAGGCCACGAUGCAUAGCCGACCUGAGAGGGUGAUCGGCCACAUUGGGACUGAGACACGGCCCAAACUCCUACGGGAGGCAGCAGUAGGGAAUCUUCGGCAAUGGACGAAAGUCUGACCGAGCAACGCCGCGUGAGUGAAGAAGGUUUUCGGAUCGUAAAACUCUGUUGUUAGAGAAGAACAAGGAUGAGAGUAACUGUUCAUCCCUUGACGGUAUCUAACCAGAAAGCCACGGCUAACUACGUGCCAGCAGCCGCGGUAAUACGUAGGUGGCAAGCGUUGUCCGGAUUUAUUGGGCGUAAAGCGAGCGCAGGCGGUUUCUUAAGUCUGAUGUGAAAGCCCCCGGCUCAACCGGGGAGGGUCAUUGGNAAACUGGGAGACUUGAGUGCAGAA
This 616-nucleotide ribosomal RNA is filed under the name Enterococcus faecium. RNAcentral's name for it is "bacterial SSU rRNA". It matches the Rfam family "Bacterial small subunit ribosomal RNA", at positions 67 to 653 of the family's 1533-position model. The record is from RNAcentral. Lineage: Bacteria; Bacillati; Bacillota; Bacilli; Lactobacillales; Enterococcaceae.